This 207-nucleotide ribosomal RNA is filed under the name uncultured bacterium. RNAcentral describes it as "partial 16S ribosomal RNA". It matches the Rfam family "Bacterial small subunit ribosomal RNA", at positions 568 to 774 of the family's 1533-position model. The record is from RNAcentral.
CACGUAGGCGGACUUUUAAGUCAGAUGUGAAGUCCCGGGGCUCAACCUCGGAACUGCAUUUGAAACUGGAAGUCUGGAGUUCAGGAGAGGUUAGCGGAAUACCGAGUGUAGAGGUGAAAUUCGUAGAUAUUCGGUGGAACACCAGUGGCGAAGGCGGCUAACUGGACUGAUACUGACGCUGAGGUGCGAAAGUGUGGGGAGCAAACA